UACAGGGGGUGCAAACGUUGCUCGGAAUCAUUGGGCGUAAAGCGCACGUAGGCGGUUUGUUAUGUCGGAUGUGAAAGCCCUUGGCUCAACUGAGGAAGUGCAUCCGAAACUGGCAAGCUAGAGUACUAAAGAGGGUCGCGGAAUUCCCGGUGUAGAGGUGAAAUUCGUAGAUAUCGGGAGGAAUACCAGUGGCGAAGGCGCUGUCCUGGACGAAGAUUGACGCUGAGGCACGAAAGCGUGGGGAGCAAACAGG
RNAcentral lists this ribosomal RNA (253 nucleotides) under uncultured bacterium. RNAcentral describes it as "partial 16S ribosomal RNA". It matches the Rfam family "Bacterial small subunit ribosomal RNA", at positions 524 to 776 of the family's 1533-position model. The record is from RNAcentral.